AAUGAACGUUGGCGGCGUGGAUUAGGCAUGCAAGUCGAGCGGACGAGGGAGCUUGCUCCCGAGUUUAGCGGCAAAAGGGAUAGUAACGCGUAGUUUAUCAACCCUCAGGACGGGGAUAGCUUUUGGAAACGAAAGGUAAUACCCGAUAACAUCUCCGGAUCAAAGGUGAGAUUCCGCCUGGGGACGAGACUGCGUCCUAUUAGCUUGUUGGUGAGGUAAUGGCUCACCAAGGCAACGAUGGGUAGCGGGCGUGAGAGCGUGACCCGUAUCACUGGGACUGAGACACUGCCCAGACACCUACGGGUGGCUGCAGUCGAGAAUCUUCGGCAAUGGACGAAAGUCUGACCGAGCGACGCCGCGUGCGGGAUGAAGGUCUUCGGAUCGUAAACCGCUGUCAAGUUGGAGGAAGUGUACGGGGGCAAUCCCCUGUAUUUGACCGAUAGCAAAAGGAAGGACGGGCUAAGUUCGUGCCAGCAGCCGCGGUAAUACGAACCGUCCAAACGUUAUUCGGAAUCACUGGGCUUAAAGGGUGCGUAGGCUGUGUUAUAAGUUGGAUGUGAAAUCCCUCGGCUCAACCGGGGAACUGCAUCCAAUACUGUAAUGCUUGAGGGAGAUAGAGGUAAACGGAACUGAUUGUGGAGCGGUGGAAUGCGUUGAUAUGAUCAGGAACACCAGUAGCGAAAGCGGUUUACUGGGUCUUUACUGACGCUGAGGCACGAAAAGCCAGGGGAGCGAAUAGGAUUAGAUACCCUCGUAGUCCUGGCUGUAAACUCUCUGUACUG
This 782-nucleotide ribosomal RNA is filed under the name uncultured bacterium. RNAcentral's name for it is "bacterial SSU rRNA". It matches the Rfam family "Bacterial small subunit ribosomal RNA", at positions 28 to 818 of the family's 1533-position model. The record is from RNAcentral.